Molecule: transfer RNA, 72 nt
Filed under: Ectocarpus siliculosus
Lineage: Eukaryota; Phaeophyceae; Ectocarpales; Ectocarpaceae
Rfam family: tRNA
About the family: Transfer RNA (tRNA) molecules are approximately 80 nucleotides in length. Their secondary structure includes four short double-helical elements and three loops (D, anti-codon, and T loops).
Source: Rfam by way of RNAcentral
ACAUACGUAGUCCAACGGCAAGGAUAUAUCGCUCUCACCGAUGAGACCCGGGUUCACUUCCCGGGGUUUCUU